GAGCAGAUCUGGACAGGAGAAAGCUGAAAAACUACUGCCAUGCAAAGCCUUCAUCUUCACUUUUGAUGAACCCGCCAUCGCUAUGUUUCUCACGCUAACCUGUUAAUAACUCCUCUGUGCCUGCUUUGCAUCCUCAUGUACUCCCCACAUGUAAAAUAGUGCUCAGGUGGACGUUACACUCUUCAAACACAAUGUUGCUGCUCUCUCUCCCUUUUUCCUCUGGCUCGGGAAGUGUGCGGGUGAGAUGCACCAGAUCCACACAUUUUGGUGAGGACUGAGUGACUUCGAUUGAGAGCACAGCCCGAGCCACCCACAGGUAGGGUGACACCCCUGGGUCCAGCCUUCCCCUGAACUAGUUUGGUCACAUCUAUAGCACAUCUGUGAAUGAAUCCAAGCGCUUACAAAUGUAAACCUCAAAGAGCGAAAUGUUUCUAAUGUUGCCAGCCUUUGUGGAGAAAUGACAAAUUUAAAGACGCACGCAUGGUGCUGUGUGCAAAAUUCAUCCUUGCUAAACAGCUGCGCUCGCAGAAUAAAUAAACUAAUUCUAUGCUGAUACAAAAUCAAAAGCAAUUUAAUUAAAGACUCUUAAGUUUUAAAGGGUUUUAAAUGCUAUACGUUUUGGGGAAAUAUCAGAAAAUGUAGCUUGACUGACGUCAGUUCCCAUCUCUGGGAUGGGAGGCCAUUUGCUAUUCUGUUUAAGGCAGGCUGGAUUGUCUUAUUUUGGAGCCAGCUUGGUGGGGGGUUUUCUUUGCUGCUGCUUCAGAGCUCUGAGCUUCAAAGGCUGAAAUUAAUGGUGAACAAAAUUGUGCGGCUCUGACCAUCCCAUGCGGGGCAAACCCAUCGAGGGUUAUCAUUAAGUAAAGAAAUAAAGAAAAAAAAAACCUGCCAGUUCCAAAAAAACCUCAUCAGAUAAUGACCUCUGUGAUUGGGUUUUCAUUACCAAACAGCAUCCAGAGAUUGUCUGCCCCAUAGAAG
Molecule: long non-coding RNA, 975 nt
Organism: Cariama cristata (Red-legged seriema)
Lineage: Eukaryota; Metazoa; Chordata; Aves; Cariamiformes; Cariamidae
Exons: 4
Source: RefSeq, a predicted model, not a curated record